RNAcentral lists this ribosomal RNA (264 nucleotides) under uncultured bacterium. RNAcentral describes it as "partial 16S ribosomal RNA". It matches the Rfam family "Bacterial small subunit ribosomal RNA", at positions 524 to 775 of the family's 1533-position model. The record is from RNAcentral.
UACGAGGGCUUCGUAGCAGUGUCCGUCUUAACUAGGCUGUAAAGGGAGCAUAGGCGGUUCCAUAGUUAGUCUCAAAAAUAAGCACUGAAAUUUGACUAAUGAUCUUUGGCAACUCUGAGGAAAGUGGACGAGAGUGGUUACUUUCAAAUAAGCAGUGUAAAUGCCGUAAGAUUGAAAGGACCACCACGUGGCGAUUGCAACUCUCGACACUUUUUUUUUUUUUUAAACCUGACGCUGAAGAUCGAAAGUGUGGGUAGCAAAUCG